AAAUACAGUACAUAUAAAAAUGACAAAGUAAACUCCCUACUCUACAAAGUAUAUUUAAUAUUUCUCCAGGAUAUUGCUUAUGCAAUUUUUUUGCCUAGCAUCUUUCCAUUUUCCAAGCAAAUAGGCCCAUGCUUCCAGUAUUUCUAAAUCUGGCUUUUCAUUUAGAAUCUUUUCAUUGCCUUUUGUCUUUAGGAUUUAUAUACCUUUGGUUAUUACAUGGAAUUCCUUCAGAACAUGGAAGUUUCUGAAGGAAUGUUGAACUAACCAAGUGUACCCAACUUCCAUCAAUAAUAUCUGCUUACUGGUAAAGUCCAAAAGGGUCAUAGCAAACACAAAGAAAAAUAUGCCUAAUAGUAGCAACCCAAGACGCAAAAAAAGAUACCAUAUGGCGCUGAAAAAGGAAGAAGAACUCAGAGAUAGCUUCAUUUGUACUACAAUCCCAAACUCAGUGGUGGAUUUCCGAAUAGGCGCACAAGGCACGCGCCUUGGGCCUCAUAAAUCAAGGGAGCCUCAAAAUUCAGCUCUCAAAAUAAAAAAAGAUUAUUUUCACGAGUUCGAAUAAUGCGAUUUCGAUUAGUGCGACUUAAAAAAUUGAUGCCGUUUUUCAGUUAGUGCGAGCACAUAUUCGAUUAAUGCGAGUUGUAAGCAUAGACCAAUCUUACUAACAAAGCUACAUCUUCUUUUAUGAUGUCAAUUAAUAAAUUACCGUUAAUUUUCGGUUAGUAAAACCGGACGAGGAGCAGUCCAAGAAC
Molecule: long non-coding RNA, 752 nt
Filed under: Androctonus crassicauda
Lineage: Eukaryota; Metazoa; Arthropoda; Arachnida; Scorpiones; Buthidae
Source: RNAcentral